UACGGAGGGUGCGAGCGUUAAUCGGAAUUACUGGGCGUAAAGCGUGCGUAGACGGUUAUGUAAGUUAGGUGUGAAAGCCCCGGGCUCAACCUGGGAAUUGCAUUUAAGACUGCAUAGCUAGGGUGCGGAAGAGGGAAGCGGAAUUUCCGGUGUAGCGGUGAAAUGCGUAGAUAUCGGAAGGAACAUCAGUGGCGAAAGCGGCUUCCUGGUCCAGCACCGACGUUCAGGCACGAAAGCGUGGGGAGCAAACAGG
Molecule: ribosomal RNA, 253 nt
Filed under: uncultured bacterium
Lineage: Bacteria
Description: partial 16S ribosomal RNA
Rfam family: Bacterial small subunit ribosomal RNA
Source: RNAcentral